RNAcentral lists this small RNA (269 nucleotides) under Lepidothrix coronata (blue-crowned manakin). Its description in RNAcentral is "7SK RNA (ENSLCOG00000013055.1)". The stretch from base 1 to 199 matches the Rfam family "7SK RNA". Rfam says of the family: 7SK was discovered as an abundant small nuclear RNA in the mid-70s but a possible function has only recently been suggested. Two independent studies have found that 7SK RNA binds the CDK9/cyclin T complex (known as elongation factor P-TEFb). P-TEFb activates transcription by phosphorylating the C-terminal domain of RNA polymerase II. Lineage: Eukaryota; Metazoa; Chordata; Aves; Passeriformes; Pipridae. The record is from RNAcentral.
GGAUGUGAGGGCGAUCUGGCUGCGACAUCUGUCACCCCACUGAUCGCCAGGGUUGAUUUGGCUGAUCUGGCUGGCUAGGCGGGUGUCCCGUUCCUCCCUCAACGCUCCAUGUGUGUCCCUCUCGAAGCUGUGUGCUCGGUCAAAGGGGACAACCUUUUUUUUUUUUUUUUUCUACCACUCUGCAGAGGGACCUAGACAGGCUGGAGAGUUGGGCUGAUUCCAACGAGAUGAGGUUCAACAAGGCCAAGUGCCGGGUCCUGCACUUUGGC